Molecule: ribosomal RNA, 190 nt
Filed under: uncultured Glomeromycotina
Lineage: Eukaryota; Fungi; Glomeromycota
Description: partial 18S ribosomal RNA
Rfam family: Eukaryotic small subunit ribosomal RNA (bases 50-190)
Source: RNAcentral
UCGGGUCCUACCUUCUGGCGAAGCGUCAUGGCCUUAACCGGCCGUGGCGGGGAACCAGGACUUUUACUGUGAAAAAAUUAGAGUGUUCAAAGCAGGCAAUCGCUUGGAUACAUUAGCAUGGAAUAAUGGAAUAGGACAAUGGUUCUAUUUGUUGGUUUCUAGGACCGUUGUAAUGAUUAAUAGGGAUAGU